This 465-nucleotide ribosomal RNA is filed under the name uncultured bacterium. RNAcentral describes it as "partial 16S ribosomal RNA". It matches the Rfam family "Bacterial small subunit ribosomal RNA", at positions 28 to 507 of the family's 1533-position model. The record is from RNAcentral.
GACGAACGCUGGCGGCGUGCUUAACACAUGCAAGUCGAACGGAAAGGCCCUGCUUGCAGGGUACUCGAGUGGCGAACGGGUGAGUAACACGUGGGUGAUCUGCCCUGCACUUCGGGAUAAGCCUGGGAAACUGGGUCUAAUACCGGCUAGGAGCCAUUUUUAGUGUGAUGGUUGGAAAGUUUUUUCGGUGUAGGAUGAGCUCGCGGCCUAUCAGCUUGUUGGUGGGGUAAUGGCCUACCAAGGCGGCGACGGGUAGCCGGCCUGGGAGGGUGGACGGCCACAUUGGGACUGAGAUACGGCCCAGACUCCUACGGGAGGCAGCAGGGGGGAAGAUUGCACAAGGGGCGCAAGCCUGAUGCAGCGACGCCGCGUGGGGGAUGACGGCCUUCGGGUUGUAAACUCCUUUCGCUAGGGACGAAGCUUUUUGUGACGGUACCUAGAUAAGAAGCACCGGCUAACUACGUG